GCUCAGAUUGAACGCUAGCGGGAUGCUUUACACAUGCAAGUCGAACGGCAGCGCGAAGAGAGCUUGCUCUUUUUGGCGGCGAGUGGCGAACGGGUGAGUAAUAUAUCGGAACGUGCCCAGUAGCGGGGGAUAACUACGGGAAAGCGUGGCUAAUACCGCAUACGCCCUACGGGGGAAAGGGGGGGAUCGCAAGACCUCUCANUAUUGGAGCGGCCGAUAUCAGAUUAGCUUGUUGGUGAGGUAAAGGCUCACCAAGGCCGCGAUCUGUAGCUGGUUUGAGAGGACGACCAGCCACACUGGGACUGAGACACGGCCCAGACUCCUACGGGAGGCAGCAGUGGGGAAUUUUGGACAAUGGGGGAAACCCUGAUCCAGCCAUCCCGCGUGUGGCGAUGAAGGCCUUCGGGUUGUAAAGCACUUUUGGCAGGGAAGAAAAGGC
RNAcentral lists this ribosomal RNA (439 nucleotides) under uncultured Pusillimonas sp. Its description in RNAcentral is "bacterial SSU rRNA". It matches the Rfam family "Bacterial small subunit ribosomal RNA", at positions 22 to 454 of the family's 1533-position model. The record is from RNAcentral. Lineage: Bacteria; Pseudomonadati; Pseudomonadota; Betaproteobacteria; Burkholderiales; Alcaligenaceae.